Molecule: non-coding RNA, 1002 nt
Organism: Cricetulus griseus (Chinese hamster)
Lineage: Eukaryota; Metazoa; Chordata; Mammalia; Rodentia; Cricetidae
Source: RefSeq, a predicted model, not a curated record
CCAGAGCUGCUACAGAGAAACUGUGUCUUGAAAAACAAAAACAAAAAGAUAACUUUACUUGAUACCUGGUUCAUUUAUUUAAAUUUUUGUUCGUUUGACUUACAUGUUCAUUUUAUCUCUAGAAGCUCUAUUUGCUUCUCUUCUGACCUGCUCUUAAGUUGUAUCCCACCUUCCUGAUUUUGUAUUCUAAAUAUAAACUUAUGUCAUAUUAUGAAUCAAUUUCAGUAAAUGGGAUUUUUACAUCUAACAAUACCGUGGGGGUUGUUGCGGGUGCAUUGCUUGUUUGUUUGUUUGUUUGUUCUUACCCUCAUUCUUGUGCUUUCUGUGCUUGGACUUUAAAAUUUUUUUUUUGUUUUUUUAACUGAGUUCUACUUGGUAGCUCAGGAUCACUUUGAACUCAUGUCAAUCCUGUUUGAGCCUCCUGAGUGCUGUGUGUUUGAAGGAGGCUUUGUUUGUUUGUUUGUUGCUUCUAUGUUUGUAUUUUGUUGAAUUGUAUGAAUCCUAAGACCUAAAAUGUGAAAUGUUUGUUGUUAUAUUUCAGGAAGGACUUGAGGACUUGGCAGGGACCAGCAUUGUUUUCAGAAUCAUGUACACACACACACACACACACACACACACACACACACACACUGUGGUGAGGCAGAAGCCAUAGUGUGAGGAUCAGAAACCCAGAGUAAAAGACUGGGAGGUGAUGAGAAGCCUGUGGUGGGUGUAUUGAGCAGGAUGGCAAUUUGAUGUGCAAGACGAAGCAAACAGAAAAGAGGUGGUGUCAGCAUGGCUUAAGGUGGCAGUAGUGAGGGAGUGGCUCUCAGAAAACAGCACAAGGUGACCUAUCCCAAGAAGAGGCCAAGUUGGUCAGUGCCCGUACUUUCAAGCCCAGAACCAGGACAUACUCUCUUGAGGUGCCAUCUGUGAAGUCAGGGAGUCACCAGCCUCUGGUGGCAUUCAUUCUCAUACUUCCUGAGCUGUUUGACGUUGAUAAAAUAAAUGAUGGGUAUGAAA